UGGGAGAUCGUCUAAUGGCAGGACACGCGACUCUGAAUCGCGUAAUCUAGGUUCGACCCCUAGUCUCCCAGCCA
This 74-nucleotide transfer RNA is filed under the name bacterium. RNAcentral describes it as "tRNA-Gln". It matches the Rfam family "tRNA". From Rfam's summary of the family: Transfer RNA (tRNA) molecules are approximately 80 nucleotides in length. Their secondary structure includes four short double-helical elements and three loops (D, anti-codon, and T loops). The record is from RNAcentral.